UGAGCAAUCUGCCCUUCUCUUCGGAAUAAGCGUUGGAAACGACGUCUAAUGCCGAAUACGACCUCCUUUCACAUGAUCGGUGGUGGAAAGCUCCGGCGGAGAAGGAUGAGCUCGCGGCCUAUCAGCUAGUUGGUGUGGGUAACGGCCCACCAAGGCGACGACGGGUAGCCGGCCUGAGAGGGUGACCGGCCACACUGGGACUGAGACACGGCCCAGACUCCUACGGGAGGCAGCAGG
RNAcentral lists this ribosomal RNA (237 nucleotides) under uncultured bacterium. RNAcentral's name for it is "partial 16S ribosomal RNA". It matches the Rfam family "Bacterial small subunit ribosomal RNA", at positions 118 to 354 of the family's 1533-position model. The record is from RNAcentral.